UAGAAGAUGGUGACUCUCCUGACGGAUGACAGCCUGACACUGUGGGAGAGGCCAUGAAAGUCACCCCUCUGACAGGAUUAAGCAGAAAAGACACCCACAGGCCACAGCAGGGUCUAUUAUAGGAAUAUCACCAUGGCAGGUAGAAACGCCGAGGACCCAAGACUCCUACCAUCAUCUCAAGCUAGCCUGCUAGCUGGCUCCCCCCUUCCAACAGGGUCCCCGGCUGUGGAGAGGACACCAGGAGUGACAGGCUUCAACCACUGCCCCCACCUUUGGGCUGGGACUGUCUGGAGGAACCGUGAUGCUAGAUGGAACAAUAUCCAGCAAAAGACAGCCCUUAAGUAACUGUGGAGAGCUGGAGUGGCAACCCUGCACCUAUGAUCCCACGUCACCGAGACUGGACCUCAGUAUGCACCCCUCUUCAGAGGAAAGCAGACCCUCUGUUCCCCAUUUCUGUUAGGGAAUUCAAAUUACUUUAUCUGAUCUG
This 487-nucleotide long non-coding RNA is filed under the name Rattus norvegicus (Norway rat). Its description in RNAcentral is "long non-coding RNA NONRATT026693". Lineage: Eukaryota; Metazoa; Chordata; Mammalia; Rodentia; Muridae. The record is from RNAcentral.